CUUCUUCCUUGAGCCGUUUCCUUCCAACGGAACUGAGCAAGUGAAGUUGGGAGCUGGUGUCCAGCUGGUCUAGUCCUGUAUUCUUCCAGUAUUUGCCCAGCACUUCUUUAGAAAACAUCCUGGAAGAGCAGAGAUGAAGAAGAGCCAUGCUUGCCCCCCAACUUGCCUGCGCCCCUCAGCCAAGCAGGUGCCGGGGCUGAACUGGGCACCCCCCUCCCCGGAAAGCCUGUCCCAGGCCUCCUGGGCCCAAGCAAACAGUAGUCGCCUCCCUGAAAUGAGUUCCGGUUGGUACAGCAUUCUCCCUCACCCCUUUAAAAUGGUGGUAAAGCACACGUAACAUAAAUGGUUACUGUCUUAAUCAUUUUAAGUGUACAGUUCAGUACACAUCGUGUAAGCACAUUCACACUCUUGUGUCACCAUCACCACCAUCCGGCUCCAGCUUUGGUUUCUUCUCCUGAAUGAAGCUCUAACCCAUUAGACACUAACUGCGCUUCCUUCCUCCCUGCAGCCCCUGGUAAUCUCGGUUCUGCUUCCGGUUUCCGGGGGUUUACAUAGAAGGAGAAGCCUACAUACGGCUGACUCAUAGCCCAUUGUGUGUAUGUACCACAGUUUAUUUAUCUACUCAUCUAUCGAUGGACACUUGGGUGGUUUCCACCUUUUGGCCAUUGUCAGAAUGCUUCUGAACUGUCUCCUCUCCCGUUUUGCAAGAAGCUAAUUAGCUUGCACGGCCACACAGACUUCGAAGUUGCGCGGUUUUCUGUUUUUGCGUCCAUGUGACUUGUGUCAGCAGUGGGAGCCCGACCACCCGGUGUCCAACUCCAUCUAAGGGUGGCUGGCCUGUGUGCAUCUCUGCUUGUGUUCAUGGAGGGUCUGCUCGUCGCUCGUCUGAGGGAGG
Long non-coding RNA from Zalophus californianus (California sea lion), 895 nucleotides. RefSeq lists it as uncharacterized. The transcript is spliced from 3 exons. NCBI's taxonomy places the organism in Eukaryota, Metazoa, Chordata, Mammalia, Carnivora, Otariidae. The record is from RefSeq and is a predicted model, not a curated record.